RNAcentral lists this ribosomal RNA (310 nucleotides) under uncultured Pseudomonas sp. RNAcentral's name for it is "bacterial SSU rRNA". It matches the Rfam family "Bacterial small subunit ribosomal RNA", at positions 1072 to 1382 of the family's 1533-position model. Lineage: Bacteria; Pseudomonadati; Pseudomonadota; Gammaproteobacteria; Pseudomonadales; Pseudomonadaceae. The record is from RNAcentral.
AUGUUGGGUUAAGUCCGUAACGAGCGCAACCCUUGUCUUAGUUACCAGCACGUUAUGGUGGGCACUCUAAGGAGACUGCCGGUGACAAACCGGAGGAAGGUGGGGAGUGACGUCAAGUCAUCAUGGCCCUUACGGCCUGGGCUACACACGUGCUACAAUGGUCGGUACAAAGGGUUGCCAAGCCGCGAGGUGGAGCUAAUCCCAUAAAACCGAUCGUAGUCCGGAUCGCAGUCUGCAACUCGACUGCGUGAAGUCGGAAUCGCUAGUAAUCGUGAAUCAGAAUGUCACGGUGAAUACGUUCCCGGGCCUU